Long non-coding RNA from Equus caballus (horse), 9902 nucleotides. NCBI's taxonomy places the organism in Eukaryota, Metazoa, Chordata, Mammalia, Perissodactyla, Equidae. The record is from Ensembl.
GUGAGUGCGGGAGGCCGCCGCUGGCCUGGGAAGAGGGGAGCGGGUUAGGAGCGCGGGGUCGGAGCGGAACCCCUGCACCCCCCCUCCUCCCAGGACUAGGGAUCUGCCGCUAGAGGCGGGGGCCCAAAGCCCCCCGCUGGGCCCGGGCGAGGAUGGGCGGGCAGGAGGCGGAGCGCAGCGCGGCGCUGCGCUGGGCGGCGGGAAAGGGGCGGGGAGGACAGCUCAGGCUUAAGCGGGCAGAGGGACGGUGGCAGAACCUGCGGGCUAGGUGGGAGGCUCACCCACAGGGAGGAAGGGAAGCGAGGACCGCCGCUGCUGAGGAGCGAGGAGACGCUUGGAGUCCAGGGGUCAGGCCGCUGCCACCUCCUCCUGCAGCGGAGACAGCACAGCCAGCGGGCGCACUGGCCGCAACGGCAACCCUCCGCGCAGGUGGGCACCCCCGAGCGCGGCGCUCUGCCCCUUCUCGGACCGCCGCGGGCCGGAUGCCCUCCUUUCCAGGCCACUGAGUUCGGGGGCGAGGGCUGGGCAGGUCUGGGGGUAGGAGGAAUGUGCACGGCUCCUUGGUGUGCACGCUUGUGCGCGCGCGCUGUGCUAGGUGGGGAAGAGGUGCGGGAAAGCAGCCUCCCUCAGGAUUUACUCCCUCGGGUCUCGCUGUCCCCACCCCCACUCUCUUCUGACCAGCAGAGCUCUCGAGCGGCUUUAGAGAACUGCGACCCCCUCCCUCGUCCGCAAUCUCGGUGGUGUGUGCACUUCGCCCCCCUCUUCACAAUCCACACCCAGCAACCAUCAGGACGCCCCCUGCUCUGUAGGAACCUUGGGAGAAGAGAGAGUGGUGGCAAGACCAGCCAGGGUGUGUUCGGGGAAGGCAGGAGUUGCUGGAGUAUUGUCUGCCGGGGACGGUGCCUGAGCCCGCGCGCUCCCUCGCGCUUUCAGGGCCAGAGUUGGGGGCGGGGGGCGGGCGCGGGGGGUUUGCUGAACUUAUCUCCGAAGGCUGACUGUGCACAUGCACUUGGCGACUUGUGCACGUUUGGACGAGGACUUAAUGGAGGCACGUGGGAGCAGGAUCGGUCGCUGGCGGGCCCCCAAAGAGCCUCUUGGCUCUUGGGAUGGCCCAGCGCGUGUUCUGGGGUGGGAAGGAAGGGAGAGUGUGCGUGUGUGUGAAUGUCCGUCCUAGGGAGGAGAAGGAGGAGAGUGGCUCGAGGAGACUUGAUUUUCUUGGAUUUGCUGCCAGUCCGUAAACCAAACCAGGCUUUCGAGGCGCUAAAGUAAAUUACCGGUGGCAGUGUAGAAGCCAAAACGGGAGCUUCCAGAAGUGGUUUCUGAAAAAUAAGAGUGAAUAUACAUGAGUAAGCAAGCACAAGAAUCUGAAAAACCACAGAAUUCUGGGCCGGAGCUAAUGGUGCUCUCACAGGGAAGCUCAAGUUAUUGUUCUGUUGACUGUAUAAGUGUCAGGCAUCAAAAUGGCCGGUAAAGAGAAUGAAGCUUUCUCUUUCCUUGGAGGUGCAUGCGUUCAGCACAAUACUGGAAUGUGGUGAUAUCUUGUGAUUUUUGACGUUCUGCUUUUACAGCGGAGGAGGGAUUUGUUUAGCCCCUGCCAACAAGGAUGUAAAACAAAAUCAGAUGCUGUUCUGGAAGCUUUAAAAGAUCAAAUUGGACACUUCCCAGUAGAAAGCAAAUUGGGAGCUCUGAGUCAGAAAGUAUAGACUAAACUAAAGACUAAAAGAUUAAAAGGCUCCAUGGAUAUAGAAUGUCAGGAAAGCUCUUGGGCAUUUAGGAACAUGGAAGUUUGCACUGCAUGGGACUUAGGUUCAUUAUCUAACUCAAGAAACUGGGAAGUAACUACUCAUCCCCCAACGUGUCUAAGAGGAAUAGGGCCUCGAAUCUUCUAAAUUAGAAAGGAAAAGAGCAAAGUUGAGGUUAUAACCCUUUCUUGAAUUAUAGCAUUCACAUUAUACAAACGUAAGGUGCUUUAGAGAUAUUUUAUUUUUGAGGCAUAACAUACAUACAGUAAAAUGUGUAAAAUACAUUAAUCUAAAGUGUACUCCUCAAUGAAUUUUUACAUGUGUAUACACCCGUUUGACCACUAUCCAGGUCAAGAUGUAGAACAUUUCCAGCACCCUAGGAGAUUUUCUACUCUUUCCCCUUCUGGUCACUUUCAUUCCCCUUCCAACCUGAAGGUAACCACAUCAUGAUUUUUUUUUUCACACUGUGAUUUUUUUAAAACUCCAUCCACUAGUUUUGUCUGCUGUUAAGCUCCAUAUAAAUAGUAUCGUAUGGAAGGGAUUUUUGUGUCUAUCUUCUUUCACAUAAUGUAAUGUCUAUGAGAUUCCUCCAUGUUACUGUGUGUAUUAGUUCAUUCUAGUCUGUUGUUGAGUAGUAAUUCCAUUGUAUGGAUAUACCACAAUUUGUUUAUCCAGUCUCCUGUUGGAUCUUUGGACUCUUCCCAUUGUGUGGCUAAUAUGAAUAAAGCACUGUGAACGUUCUUGCUUAUGUUUUUUUUUUUUUUUAAAGAUUUUAUUUUUUCCUUUUUCUCCCCAAAGCCCUCCGGUACAUAGUUGUGUAUUCUUCGUUGUGGGUUCUUCUAGUUGUGGCAUGUGGGACGCUGCCUCAGCGUGGUCUGAUGGGUAGUGCCAUGUCCGCGCCCAGGAUUCUAACCAACAAAACACUGGGCUGCCUGCAGCGCAGCGCGCGAACUUAACCACUCGGCCCCAGGGCCAGCCCCGUUGCUUAUGUUUUUUGGUGGACAUGCCCACUCCUUUCUCUUGAGUAUAUACGUAUGAAUGGAGUUGCUGGGUCAUAGAGUAGGCUUAUAUUUAGCUUUAGUAGAUAUUUCCAAACAGUAUUCCAAAGUAGUUAUACCAAUAUAAAUUCCACCAGUAGUGUACAACAGUUCCAGUUGCUCUACAUUUCCACUUGGUUCUGUCGGUCUUUUUAAUCUUAGCUAUUUUGGUGAGGGCAUAGUAGUACCUUCUGUGGGUUUUUAAAAAAUUUUAAUUGUGGUAAAAUAUAUAUAAUGUAAAAUUUACCGUUGUAAUAAUUUUUAAGUGUAUAGUUAGUGGUGUUAAGUACCUUUACAUUGUUGUGUAACCAUCACCACCAUUGAUCUCCAGAAUUCUUUUUAUCUUGCAAAACUGAAACCAUACCCAUUAAACAAUAAAUCCCCAUUCUCCCUUCCUUCAGCCCCUGGCAACCACCGUUCUGCUUUCUGUCUCUGUGAAUUUGAUUACUUUAAGUACCUCAUACAAGUAGAACCAUAGAAUAUUUGUUCUUUUGUGACUGGCUUAUUUCACUUAGCAUAAUGUCCUUAAGAUUCAUCUGUUGUAGCAUGCGUCAGAAUUUCCUUCCUUUUUAAGGCUGAAUAAUAUUCCAUUGUAUGAAUAUACCACAUUUUGUUUAUCCAUUUGUCAAUCGGUGGACACUUGGGUUGCAGCCACCUUUCAACUAUUGUGAAUAAUGCUGCUAUGAACAUGAGUGUACAAAUAUUUCUUCGAGACCCUGUUUUCAAAUUUUGGGGGUAUAUUGCUAGAUCAUAUGGUAAUUCUGUUUUAAUUUUUUGAGGAGCCACCAUACUGUUUUCCAUAGUGGCUGCACCAUUUUACAUUCCCAACAGUGUACAAGGGUUCCAAUUUCUCCACAUCCUCACCAACAGUUGUUAUUUUCUGUUGUGUUUUUGUUUUUUUUGAUAGUAGCUGUCGUAGUGGGUUUGAGGUGGUCCUUAUGGUUUUAAUUUGUGUUUCCUGGUGAGUAAUGUUGUUAAAUGCCAUUUCAUAUACUUAUUGACGUUUGGAUAUCUUUUUGUGAAAUUCCUGUUAAAAUCUUUUGCCCAUUUUUGAAUUGAAUUGUUUCUUUACUUCUUUGUCAGAGUUCUUUUAUAUUCUAUGUAUGAGUCCUUUGUCAAAUAUAUGUACAGUCAUGUGCUACAUAAUGAUGUUUUGGUCAACGAUGGACCACGUAUACAAAGGUGGUCCCAUAAGAUGAGUACCAUAGAGUCUAGGUAUGUAGUAGGCUAUACUAUCUAGGUUUGUGUGAAUACACUCUAUUUGCACAAUGAUGAAAUUGCCUCAUGACGCUUGACUGUAUUACAAAUAUUUUCUCCCAGUCUGUGGCUUGCCUUUUCACUGUCUUCAUGGUAUCUUUUGAAGGUUUUUAAUGAAGUCCAGUUAUCAGUUUUUUUCUCUUAUGGCUAUUGCUUUUUGUGUUCUAUUUAUGAAAUCUUUGCCUACUUUGGAGUUAUUUUUUUAAAAUUCCCUUUUAGUUACUGAAAAUAUAUAAAGGCAGUCUGUUUGGAAGAUGAAGUAAAUUAACUAUAAGCAUAUUUUCAAAUAAGUGCCCUAAGAAUGAAAGUUGAUGCUGUUCCUUGCUGCAGCAGGUUCCAGAGAAGGAGUUUGGAGAAGCCUGUUUUUCAAUAAGAUACGUGGACACAGAUGCUGUUACUCAAGUGGUUCCCGUUUCUGUCUCCCCCAGACACUGAUUAUGUCCUCAGGGCCCCUCUAGAGUGGAGGAACCCGAGGGAACAGCCUGGUAAUGACUUGACUAGAGGAAAGAAUGUGGCAAAAUGGAUUGAUAUCCACUUUUCCUUAGUUUGUAACCCAUAAUUGCUGAAUGAUCCUUCAUCUCCCCUCUUGCAUCCCUAAGGAGAGUUGCUGCUGUUUAGUGCUACUUCUUUUCUUUGCUUUUGAAACAUCAAUGUCCCUCAGGAUUCUGCCAUUAAUUAGCUUUUUCUCUUCUCCAUCUACAUCUUUUCCUCGAAUGCCCUGCAUUCACAUUCAUUUUCAUGUCUUGAGCUGUCUCUCCCCCUCUGCCCUGUGUUCUAAAGAUUCGCCAGGUCUUUAUCUGACUUGUGCCACCUGUCCCUCAACAGAAGGUCCAGAUUUGUAUCCUUAUCUGACUCCUGGACAUCUCCCACUAGAUAUCCCAUAGGUGCCUUUAUAAAAAUCACGUGUUCUUCCUCUCCAGUCUCCUCUUCUGCUUUCCUGCCUUAAUAUAUUUGCCGUUAAUCUGGGAUCCCAAAGUAGAAAUCUUGGCACUGUCCCCAAUCUCCCCACACAAUUAUAUCACCCCCACAGCCCAUAUUUAGUUGGUUGUCAAGGCUGCUGGGUCUUUCUCCUGUCUCUGAAAUAUCUUUCAAAGGCAUCUUCUCUUCCCUAUAUUCACUACCUUUUGGUUCAGGUCCCCUUUAGAAUUGUUGGAAUAGCCUCCCUGAUUUUUACUCUUGCCUCUAAUCCUCUGCUUCAUAUCAGCUUUCUUUUCCUAAAACACAGAUUUAAUCAUGUCAUUUCCUACUUAAAAUGAUUUGUAGCUCUCCACAGCCUACAAGAGGUAUUCAAAUCCGUUAAUAUAAUUUACAGUAUGACACCCUUCAUUAUUUGCCUUCAACCUGCUUUUCCUGCUCCAUCAUCUGCCAUUUCCUCCCCACACUCCAUCUGUCCUAAACUAUUUUUCAUUCUUAGAACAUUAGAACAUUCCUUGAGCUGUUUCCUGUAUCUGUGCUUUUGCAUAUGCUGUUUGUUCUACUUCUGAUGUCCAUUCCUGUCCACUGGUGAUGUACUAUUUUUUUCUUUAAAAAGCAGCUCAAAUGUGGCUUCUUCUUUGACUGAGCCUUCCUAUCCUCUAAGUAGAUGUUGUUAUUCAUACUUCUUUUAAUGUAGUUAGAAGAGAUGACUCCAUAAUUGCAGGCACUAUUGCAUAUUAAUCUUUGUACCCCCAAUGACUAUAGAGAGCACUACUUCAAAUAUAGAAGGCAUUUAGUAAAUGUUUACUGAAUGAAUAAUUCGUAAAGAAUCCAUUCCUUUAUCAGUUGGCUUUUGCUGCUUAACAAACCACCACAAUAUUGGUUUGGUUAGCAGUUUAAAACAACCAGCAUUUAGUUAGCUUUUGAUUCUGUGGGUUGGCAAUUUGGGCAGGAUUCAGCUGGGCAGUUCUUUAGAUCUGGGCAGGUUUUCUACUGGGUGGGGUGGGAGCUGGCUCUUCUAGGAUGGCCUCAGCUCCUCUCCACAUGGUUUCCAAUCUAUAACCAGGCUAGCCUGGGCUUGUUCACACUCUGGGUGGCGGGGUUCUAAGAGAGAGUGCAGAGGCAUGCAAGGCCUCUUGAGGCCUAGGCCUGCAACUGGCACAAGGUUACUUUCUCUGAAUUUUGUUAGCCAAAACAGGUCACAAAGCCAGCCCUGAUUCAGGAGGUGGGGAAAUAAAUAGAUUGCAUCUCUGGAAGUGAGGAGCUGCAGUCAUGUUGCAAGGAGCACAGAGAAAGGAGAGUAAUUGCAGCCAUUUUUAUGAGUAAUCUACUGCACUUACCUAGGAACAGGAAUAUAAGACUAGACCAGGCUUAGUCCAGAGGGUUGAUUCCACUUAGGUCACCAGCAGGGAGGACAGUUUUGAUCCUGACUAAUUGUGUCUAAUUGCAUCUAAGAUGAGCCCAACCAAGAUGGCCCCAUGGUUCCUAGUGAUACUGACCCUAGGCUUUUAGGCUGUCUGUGUAAUAGAAAGUGACAAGAGGCCAAACCAAAGUCUCAGACAAGGUUUUACCGGGACUUAUGCUCAAGCACAAGGGAGACAGCACAGGAGAAGUGGCUCUCUGGCUGGCUCCUGGAAGGGAGUCAUCUGGAGUCUUUUAUGGGGUGAAGAGAGCGGACUGGCAUCAUGAUUCCCCUCUGUUAGAGGCGUUCUGCUUCCCUCUUCCUGGUGGUAUCUUCUUUGCGUGUCUUCGCAUGCUGCCUCAGGGUUGCAGUCCCUGCCCCUGCCCAGUAGGUCCAACAUGACGGCGUUGCUCACUACUGCCACCCCAGGAAGGUCAUAUAGUGGUCAUCUCCAGGCUUUGUGUGCAUCCGGGAGUCAGGUCCACUGCUUGGGAGAAGUUUUGCGGUUGGAAUGUUGCACAUCUUGACUUCAAAAAUAGCUGGGCUUGGAGGUGCCAAACCUUGUGGUUAAGGGUGAGGGGCAGAGUCCUGUCUCUAUUCAGGCUCAUUAGCAUCCUCCUUUGGCCCUCCUCUUAAGUCCUCUGUCCUUAUCCUUUUAUGCAAAGCAUAUUUAAGACAGCCCCAGUUUCAUUUUAGCCUUGAUGAAGUACCAUUGGUGUUGUGGGAUGGGGAAGUUGCUCCAGUACUGGAAAAAGGAGAAAUCUCUCUCUCUCUUCAUUCUGGAAGCUGCUGUGGAUACCCUUGGGCAUUGGGGACCUUCUCAUUAUGGAGCACCCUUGAGUAUUUACAUUGAUUUGUCUCUAGCAUCUGAUUUAAAAGGCAUUUUGGGGAAAGGAGAAUGUCAGGAAAUGAAAAGAGACCUGAUUGAUUGGGGCUGUUCAUCUCUGUUCUCCCUCAGCAUGUGUGGAAAAUGAAGGGAUCCUCCUACUGAGAAACACUAGUAGUUUACCCAGUCUUAAUGUCUGUGUCCUUUUCCAGCUGUUACAAACUAUUCGGAGUGGAAACGUGAAUUUAAAUGUUUCUGAUUACUACCUAUUAAAGAUUCCUUUUUAAGGACUAGAGUACAUUAGGAGGAAGUAUAGUUACAAUAUACACGUAGGUGCUUAGUUGAAAUAUACGUGAAGUGUAUAUUAAUAAGUAUAUUUAGUAAAACAUACAUGAAGUGACCCUGAUUUUCCAGAGAUAGUAUAGUAACCGUGGAUAGGUUUGAGUUUUUCCAGAACUUGGUGUUAGCACACAUCUGUAUGUUUUAGUAGAGCUGUUAGAAGUAGCUAAAGAAAACAGAUAGAAAUUUUACCUCGUUCAAGUCCAGUUCUACUAAUCCUAGAGAUGCAGAUGAACUGUGAAGUGACCAAAAGGCAUAAAAGAAUAGGAGGCACUUCAAGAGCUUUAAGACCCCUUAUGACCUCUCACGUGUUGUCCUCCUGCCUGUGCCACUCCUAGAUUGGCCAUUGACACAGGUAGAGGCAUGAAAAAUCCACAACCUGAGUAAUCCUCUGUCAAAAUAACAGAUGUGCUACUAUUUAUGAGCGAAAAUAGGACUUUCACUUAUGUUAAAAAAUAUCUUCUUGAAAUUUAUUCUUAUGGCAUGCUUUCUUUUAUUUGUCAAAAACAAAAGAUUUAGUUCAUAUCUCACUUCCUAUGCCCUAUUUAUAGAUCAGUUCCUUAUUGAAUCUCUGUAUGUGCUGUUUAUUUAAAAUGACAACACAAAUUCAAAUGGCCAUAGUUCAAUAUUUUUAGAAGAUCAUGACAAUUCUGGGUUACCAAAUCAGUAUUUUUAUCUAUUAAUUUAUUAAAUCAAAGAAUUUUAACAGAUUGAAAUAGGAUACUAAUUGAAAUUCAGGGUCUUUUUUUCCCUUUUUUUUCAGUCCUUUGUUGUACUUUGGAGGGGAGAGAGUCCCGGGUCAGCUCACCCCGCCAUUUUGCUCCCUGACCGGAAAUAGGAUACUAAUUGAGAUGCAUUUGCAGAUGGAAUGUCUUAAGCAUGGAGUUGACGUCAUACUAGAGUUACCUGAAAACUCCACAAACCGAUGGAGAAACUGAGUCCCCAAAGUGUUUCAGCAUCCUUGAAGUUAUACAGAGAACUAAAGUAGCAUAUGGCUUAUCUAGGAGGUAAAGAUAAGAACAGCUUCUGCUUGAUUGGUGCCCUCUUGAAGAGAAAUACUUGCCAAGAAGAAACUGACACUCUGGAGGAUCCUGGCUCAAACUGUCUCUUCUUUAAUUGACGGGGAAUCAAACUUGAGAAUUCAACAAGAACUUCUUACACCAAUUUUUGAAAAAAACUACAACCUACCAAAACUCACCUGAGAUGAAAUCCAUAACCUGAAUAGUCAUAUAAUCAUUAAUAAAAUUGGAUGCAUUGGUAAAAACCUUCUGAAAAAGAAAUCUCCAGACCCAGACAGUUUGGCUGGUAAAUUCUAAUAAACAUUUAAGGAAAAAGCAACACCAAUUUAGACAAUAUUUUUCAGGAGAAGAGGGAAAACUUCCAACUUAUUUUAUGAGGCCAGCAUUACUCUGAUACCAAAGAUGGUAAAAAAAAAAAACACACACACACACACACACGGAUCAAUAUCCCUCAUGAACAUAGAUUUUAAAAAUUCAUCAAAAAAUAGUAGCAAUAUUAGUUGUCAAAUUUAUGUAUGUGGGAUUGUUCAUAAUAUUCCCUUAUCAUCCUUUUAAUGUCAAUGGGAUCUGUAAGUGAUACCGCUCUUUCACUCCUGGUAUUAGUAGGUUGUAUUUUCUUUCUCUUUCUCUUGUUUUCCCUUUGUCAGUCUUGCUAGAGGCUUAACAAUUUUAUUGAUAUUUUCAAAAAACUAGCUUUUGUUUUCGUGGAUUUUUUUCUUUUUGCUUUCAAUUUCAUUUAUUUCUGCUCUUAUCUUUGUUAUUUCCUUCCUUCUUGCUUUGGGUGUAUUUUGUUCUUCAUUUUCUAGUUUCUGCAGAUAGAAGCUUAGAUUAUUGAUUAAAGACCUUUCUUUUUUUCUAAUAUAAAUAUUUAACUUUACAAAUUCCCCCUAUAAGCACCAUUUUAACUGCAUCACACACAUUUUGAUAUAUUGUAUUUUUAUUUUGUUCAAUUCAAAAUUCUCUUUCACUUGAGACUUUCUCUUUGACCCAUACGUAAUUUAGAAGUAUGUUCUAUAAUUUCCAAGUAUUUGAAAAUUUUCCUCUUCUCUCUUUAUUGUUGAUUUCUAGUUUAAACAUUGUGAUCAUACUUUGUGUUAUUUCAAUUCUUCUAAAUUUGUUAAAGUUUUAUACUUCAGGGUAUGGUCUAUCUUGGUGAAUGUUUUAUAUGUGCUUUAAAAGAAUGCAUAUUCUGCUUUUCACUAGAAUGUUUUGUAAAUAUGAGAUUCACUUGCUUGGUGGUAUUUUCUGUCUACCUUCUUUAUGUUUUAUUGAGAGAGAGAUGUUGAAGCUUCCAACUUUUACUUUAGAUUUACUUGUUUCUCCUUUGAGUUCUGGCAGUUUUUGUUGGAUGUAUUUUAUGGUCUA